UACAGAGGGUGCAAACGUUGCUCGGAAUCAUUGGGCGUAAAGCACACGUAGGCGGCCUAGCAAGUAGGGAGUGAAAGCCCUCGGCUUAACCGAGGAAGUGCUUUCUAAACUACUAGGCUUGAAUACUGGAGAGGGUCGCGGAAUUCCCGGUGUAGAGGUGAAAUUCGUAGAUAUUCGGAAGAACACCAGUGGCGAAGGCGGCUCACUGGACCGGUAUUGACGCUGAGGUGCGAAAGCGUGGGGAGCAAACAGG
This 253-nucleotide ribosomal RNA is filed under the name uncultured bacterium. Its description in RNAcentral is "partial 16S ribosomal RNA". It matches the Rfam family "Bacterial small subunit ribosomal RNA", at positions 524 to 776 of the family's 1533-position model. The record is from RNAcentral.